UGAGCUGGCCGAGGCAAUCGCUAUUUAUUUUUUUUAUAGAUAGAGGAAAGUCCGGGCUCCAUAGGACAAAGUGCCAGGUAACUCCUGGGAGGUGAAAGCCUACGGAUUAGUGCCACAGAAAACAAACCGCCUUGUUAUUUAUAUAGAUACUGGGUAAGGGUGAAAAGGUGCGGUAAGAGCGCACCGCGUGACUGGUAACAGUUGCGGCAUGGUAAACCCCACUUGGAGCAAGACCAAAUAGGAGCUUUAAAAUAUUUUUUUAAAUAUUUAAGUGUGGUCCACACUAAAAGCUCGGGUAGGUUGCAUGAGGUGUUUGGUGACAAACAUCCUAGAUAAAUGAUUGUCCACGACAGAACCCGGCUUAUUGGCUAGCUCUCUUU
This 380-nucleotide RNase P RNA is filed under the name Gammaproteobacteria bacterium. RNAcentral's name for it is "RNase P RNA component class A". It matches the Rfam family "Bacterial RNase P class A". From Rfam's summary of the family: Ribonuclease P (RNase P) is a ubiquitous endoribonuclease, found in archaea, bacteria and eukarya as well as chloroplasts and mitochondria. Its best characterised activity is the generation of mature 5'-ends of tRNAs by cleaving the 5'-leader elements of precursor-tRNAs. Cellular RNase Ps are ribonucleoproteins. The record is from RNAcentral. Lineage: Bacteria; Pseudomonadati; Pseudomonadota; Gammaproteobacteria.